AGAAUCAACGCUGGCGGCGUAGCCUAACACAUGCAAGUCGAACGAGAAAGUGGAGCAAUCCAUGAGUAAAGUGGCGCACGGGUGAGUAACACGUGACUAACCUACCCUUGAGUGGGGAAUAACCUAGGGAAACCUGGGCUAAUACCGCAUAACACCUACGGGUCAAAGGAGCAAUUCGCUUAAGGAGGGGGUCGCGGCAGAUUAGCUAGUUGGCGGGGUAAUGGCCCACCAAGGCAGUGAUCUGUA
Molecule: ribosomal RNA, 246 nt
Filed under: uncultured bacterium
Lineage: Bacteria
Description: partial small subunit ribosomal RNA
Rfam family: Bacterial small subunit ribosomal RNA
Source: RNAcentral